RNAcentral lists this ribosomal RNA (496 nucleotides) under uncultured bacterium. Its description in RNAcentral is "partial 16S ribosomal RNA". It matches the Rfam family "Bacterial small subunit ribosomal RNA", at positions 30 to 523 of the family's 1533-position model. The record is from RNAcentral.
AUUGAACGCUGGCGGAAUGCUUUACACAUGCAAGUCGAACGGUAGAGGGGGCAACCCCUCGAGAGUGGCGAACGGGUGAGUAAUAUAUCGGAACGUGCCCAGUCGUGGGGGAUAACGUAGCGAAAGUUACGCUAAUACCGCAUACGAUCUAAGGAUGAAAGCGGGGGAUCGCAAGACCUCGCGCGAUUGGAGCGGCCGAUAGCAGAUUAGGUAGUUGGUGGGGUAUAGGCUCACCAAGCCAACGAUCUGUAGCUGGUCUGAGAGGACGACCAGCCACACUGGAACUGAGACACGGUCCAGACUCCUACGGGAGGCAGCAGUGGGGAAUUUUGGACAAUGGACGCAAGUCUGAUCCAGCCAUUCCGCGUGCAGGAUGAAGGCCCUCGGGUUGUAAACUGCUUUUGUACGGAACGAAAAGGUCUCUCUUAAUACGGGGGGCUCAUGACGGUACCGUAAGAAUAAGCACCGGCUAACUACGUGCCAGCAGCCGCCGCAG